GGGGUGAGUAAUGCUUAGGAGUCUGCCAAUUAGUGGGGGACUACGUUCCGAAAGGAGCGCUAAUACCGCAUACGUCCUACGGGAGAAAGCAGGGGACCUUUGGGCCUUGCGCUAAUAGAUGAGCCUAAGUCGGAUUAGCUAGUUGGUAGGGUAAAGGCCUACCAAGGCGACGAUCUGUAGCGGGUCUGAGAGGAUGAUCCGCCACACUGGGACUGAGACACGGCCCACACUCCUACGGGAGGCAGCAGUGGGGAAUAUUGGACAAUGGGGGGAACCCUGAUCCAGCCAUGCCGCGUGUGUGAAGAAGGCCUUUUGGUUGUAAAGCACUUUAAGCGAGGAGGAGGCUACCUAGAUUAAUACUUUAGGAUAGUGGACGUUACUCGCAAAAUAAGCACCGGCUAACUCUGUGCCAGCAGCCGCGGUAAUACAGAGGGUGCGAGCGUUAAUCGGAUUUACUGGGCGUAAAGCGUGCGUAGGCGGCCAAUUAAGUCAAAUGUGAAAUCCCCGAGCUUAACUUGGGAAUUGCAUUCGAUACUGGUUGGCUAGAGUAUGGGAGAGGAUGGUAGAAUUCCAGGUGUAGCGGUGAAAUGCGUAGAGAUCUGGAGGAAUACCGAUGGCGAAGGCAGCCAUCUGGCCUAAUACUGACGCUGAGGUACAAAAGCAUGGGGAGCAAACAGGAUUAGAUACCCUGGUAGUCCAUGCCGUAAACGAUGUCUACUAGCCGUUGGCGCCCUUGAGGCUUUAGUGGCGCAGCUAACGCGAUAAGUACACCGCCUGGAGAAGUACGGUCGCAAGACUAAAAACUCAAAUGAAUUGACGGGGGGCCCCGCACCAAGCGGUGGGAGCAUGUGGUUUAAUUUCGAUGCAACGCGAAAAAACCUUACCUGGCCUUGAACAUACAGAGAAUCUUUCCAGAAGAUGGAUUGGCUGCCCUUCGGGAAACUCUGAAUACAGGUGCUGCAUGGCUGUCGUCAGCUCGUGUCGUGAGAUGUUGGGUUAAGUCCCGCAACGAGCGCAACCCUUUUCCUUAUUUGCCAGCACUUCGGGUGGGAACUUUAAGGAUACUGCCAGUGACAAACUGGAGGAAGGCGGGGACGACGUCAAGUCAUCAUGGCCCUUACGGCCAGGGCUACACACGUGCUACAAUGGUCGGUACAAAGGGUUGCUACACAGCGAUGUGAUGCUAAUCUCAAAAAGCCGAUCGUAGUCCGGAUUGGAGUCUGCAACUCGACUCCAUGAAGUCGGAAUCGUUGGUAAUCGUGGAUCAGAAUGCCGCGGUG
Molecule: ribosomal RNA, 1280 nt
Filed under: Acinetobacter radioresistens
Lineage: Bacteria; Pseudomonadati; Pseudomonadota; Gammaproteobacteria; Moraxellales; Moraxellaceae
Description: bacterial SSU rRNA
Rfam family: Bacterial small subunit ribosomal RNA
Source: RNAcentral